GACAUAGGUGGCGAACGUUAUCCGGUUUUAUUGGGCGUAAAGGGUGCGUAGAUGGUGAAACAAGUUAGCGGUGGGAAAUCAGGGCUCAACCCUGUGGAAGCCGGUAAUACUGUUUUGCUUGAGGACAGGAGAGGUUGAUGGAAUUCCAUGUGUAGCGGUAAAAUGCUAAGAUAUCCGGAGGAACACCGGUGGCGAAGGCGGCUUCCUGGACCGACACUGACGCUGAGGCGCGAAAGCUAGGGGAGCAAACGGG
RNAcentral lists this ribosomal RNA (253 nucleotides) under uncultured bacterium. Its description in RNAcentral is "partial 16S ribosomal RNA". It matches the Rfam family "Bacterial small subunit ribosomal RNA", at positions 524 to 776 of the family's 1533-position model. The record is from RNAcentral.